RNAcentral lists this long non-coding RNA (974 nucleotides) under Heterocephalus glaber (naked mole-rat). RNAcentral describes it as "lncRNA (ENSHGLG00100042288.1)". The record is from RNAcentral. Lineage: Eukaryota; Metazoa; Chordata; Mammalia; Rodentia; Bathyergidae.
AGUCCAUGGGAUCCGCGGACUACGCCACCUCGCAGAGUUCCGACGCUCUGGCCACUGCCUCCGUCUGUUUUGUUCUCUCCGGUCCAGAGAGUGCGGAGACUUCCGGGGAGCGAACGUGUACGGGUUUCCAGAGUAACCCCGACAACAGGCAGUGAGAUGGCAGCUCUGAGCAGCUUGCUCUAGAACCAACUGUGCGUCCUCCACUUGGACCAAUACCAAUGGGAGAAGCUGGCCAAGCUCUGAGAAGCCGUGCACACCCAAGGAGCAGAGAUGCCAUGGCUUUUUGGUGGUAUUGGCAGGAUGAUACCAGAGGCUAAAUGAUAAGAGCUGAAUGAAUUCUCCAGGCUCUAGCUGAGAGUUCCUCCUGUCUCCUUCAUGAAGCUGAGCUGGAAGCCUCAGAGCCUUCGCAUCAGAGGUGCCAGAGUCCCUGAGCAGUGGCCCUGUCCUGCUGGCUUUGGAUUGUCUGCCUGCAAGUUGGAUGGAUGCAGCCAGAGGCUGGGGUGAUGAACACGGCUUCCACUGGUGGGCAAAGUGAACUGGGGACCAUCCCCUGUCCUCCACGGGUCUCAACUUUGUCUGCUGGUAAAGGAGAGGUUAGAACUAGAAGUCUCAGGCUUCUGUCCGGCCUGGGGAUUCAAACACCUUUCAGAGCUGAGUUCUAUCAAUUUUCCCGUGUUGGCCCAGGCAAACCACUUUAUUAGCAGCCUCUACAAGGUGCCAAAUCCUGGCUUCUUCCAGUCCCUGGUUCUCAGUGCAGUCAGGGCCCACUCCAGUUGAGCAGCAACCUCAUCGUUGCUGUCAUCACAGGGAUUCUUUAUUCCAAAUCCAACAGUGGCUUGCUGUUCCCAUGCCUAGCCUCACUGCCCUGUGCAGUGGGUAGAAUCCUCUUCUCAGAGGAUGAAAUUGAGGAGCAGAGACAUACACAAAGUUGGGAGUGACCAGGAUUCUCCUCAUCUCUUCACACCAGCCCCAAC